CAGGGGGAAGGGAUGUUGGUGUUGCUGAUAGGAAAGAAAAUGAAAGACUUUUAAAACAAAGUCAAGUCUAUCACUAAGCUAGACAAUUGAAAUGAAUUGAGGAAUAAAAGGAUAAAGGGUACAUAAAGUAAUAGUCAUGGAAAGUUGGGUCCUAGACUGAAAAGAGAAAAAACUGCAUGGAGCUUCAAGAAGAAACUAGCUUGAGACAAAGUUUGGGAUUUUGUUUAUAAGAUUUGCUUCUGGUUUUGCUUUUUGCUGAUAGAUAGUAUAUGCUUGUUGAUUUGCAGAAAAGAAGUAAGUAAAAAGUAGAAUUGGACAGAUUAAUGAUGUCAAGCAUUACAUUUGGAGAUUCAAAGAAGAUGUCCCUGAUCCUUUGGGUCAGCUGCCUAUUUCCAGCAACACAUGCUACCAAGAAUCCUCCAUGCUCACUCUGGACCUGAUUCACCUAGGCAAUUUGUUCUCUACUUCCUGUCCACCAAUACAAUCUCUCUGGUGCUCUUCCUAGCUCUGUACCCUAUUGCUUGCAGGGUCUUCUCCUGUAUCCCUACUCUAUUCCCUAGUGACUCAAUCAAACCUGUGUGGACUCAGCUUUCCUUAUCCCACUGUACUCUCUUAGCCCCACCCCCACCCUUCCAGUUUACCCCCAUCCUUUCCUCACCCCUCACUUCUACACUUUCUACCUGAGAUGUUUAGUGUUGGAAUUCAUCAGGGAUUCAGGUAGGUGAAUCACACUAUCUUUUCUAUCUUUCUUUAUGAUCUCUCCAUUCUCAUGCUUAGCCUAAUAACAACCUCCCAUUUCAACCACAUUCACUGGAGAUUCUAACUCUGGCUUCAGACCAAGGGUAUCUCCUGGUACUUUCUUCUCUGUCUCUCAUGAUAAUUCUUUGCCGUUUCAAGUAUUACCUGCAGAAUCCACUCUUUCCAACACACAUUCGGAUCUCUGGAGAUCCAGUAUCUAGGAGUGAACAGCAUCCUCUUAUGUCUUAGCUGAAGCUCUGCUCAACCUGUUCUACUAGCCCACUUCUAUUUCUCUCUGCUACUCACUGGCCUACAGAAGUAAUCCCUACCAGGCAACCCACAGGCAUUACACUUUCUUAAGAGAAAGCAACAGAAACAAGGAAACAAAAGACCCACCCAAUAAAUAGAAGAUCAGAUAUCAACACUUUAAAGUGCCUCAGUCAUCCCAAUCCCAGAGGCCUAGACUCCAGCACAAAACACAAACAUUACCAGCCAAGACAGUAUGGUUCUACCCAUAUUUAGUAAUCUUACUAGAGUAAGUGCUUAAAAAUGUAAUACAGCUGAAUCCCAAGGAAAGGACUUCAAAGAAGAUAUUAAUAAAUUCAUUAAUGAAGUCCAUGAAAACACAACUAAAGAGAGGGAUGAAAUAAUAAAAGUAACUUAAAACAUGACAGUAGAAUUUGUCAAAUAAAUAGAGUUACCAAAGAAACCACAAACUGAAAUAAAACUGGAAAAGAAAUAUUUAGGAAGUCAAACAAAUAUCUCAGAGACAAGCCUCAUCAACAGAGUAUAAGACAUGAAAGAGAGAAUUUCAGGAGUUGAAGACAAGUUAGUAGAAAGGAAUAUCUCAGUCAAAGAAAAUGUUCAUUUUAAAAAUUUGAAGCACAAAAGAUUGAGGAUAUCUAGAACAUUAUGAAAAGAUCGAUUCUACAAUGAAAAGAGAGGAAUAAGAAAGUCAGGUCAGAGUACAGAAAAUGUUUUUGAUAAAAAUCAUAGAAUAAAUUUGCCUAACCCACAAGACUCAGGAAGCAUAGAGACAUCCAAAUAGACUAGGCCAGAAAACAAAUUCUCUACAACAAAUGAUAAUCAAAGCACUCAGAACAAGGAAAGAAUAUUAAAAGCUAUAAGGGAAAAUAGCAAAUAAUAAUUACAAUAACAACUGACAUCUGAAUAAAGACUCUAAAAACCAGAAGGUUCUACAAAUUAUAAGAAACCACAAAAUCCAUGUCUGAUCACUAUACCCAGCAAAACUAUCAAUCACAAUAGACAGAAAGUAAAUCAUUCCAUGAUAAAGCCAAAUUCGAGCAGAAUAUAUCUACCAAUCCAGUUCUACAGAAAAGAACAGAAGGAAAAUGUAGUUUGAACAGAUUAACCACACUGCAGAAAGCAAAAGAAUAAAUAAACCCAAACCAUCUAAUGAAAAUGUAGGGCAAUCCACAAAACAACAACAAAAUAGCAGGAAUAAAUACAUACUGCUACUGACACCACCAAAUAUUAACAGUAUCAAAUUCCAAAUUAGAAAACUUGGCCCAUUCUUUUGCUGCAUCCAGGAAGCACACCUUAUUAUAAAGAAUAGAUGUUGCCAUAGGGUAAAAGGAAGGAAGAAGAAACUCCAAGUAAAAGAACCCAAGAGGCAAGAUGGUAUGCCAUUUUAAUGUAUGAAGAAAGACACUAUAAACAGAAAUUAAUCAAAAGAGAUAGAGAAAGAUACUAGAUACUCACCAAAGAAAAUAAACCCACCAAGAAUAUACUGUCAAUCUAAAUAAACAUUUAUAGACAAAACACGUGGACACCCAAGUUCAUAAAGGAAGCACUACUACAGCUGGAAUUACAUGUUUGUCCACACAGUUAUUGUGAGUGAUUCCAAUAGCCAAUUCUUGACAAUCAACAGAUCUUUCAGUUAAAAACUAAUCAGAAGAAUGUUGGAGUUAAAUAAUGUCACUAAUUAAAUGGUCCUAGCAGAUAUUUACAGAGCAUUUCACCCAAGCACAAAGGAAUAUAUCAUCUUCUCAGUAGUUCAUAGAACUUUCUCAAAAUUGACUACAUACUUGAUUGCAAAGCAAGUCUCAAAAGAUAUAAGAAAAUUUAAAUAUUGUCUCUUUACUGAUCACCUUAUAUUAAAUCUGAAUAACAGCAGAAUGCUUGCAAAUUCUUAAAAACUGGAAAACUCACUACAAAAUGAAAAAUAAGUAAAGACAUAAAUUAAUAAAUAAAUUUAAAACUUUUUAGAAUUGCGUGAAAAUAAAACACAGUGUACCCAAACGUCUGGGAAACAAAUUAGGAGUUGCUAAGAGACAAGUUCAUACCACUUAGUAAAUACAGAAAAAUGUUGGAGAGAUCUCAUACUAAGAACUUAAGGCCACUGCUGAAGACUUUAGAGGAAAAGAACUAACAACAUAAGUAAAUAUAUAGCAAGAAAUAACCAAGCUGGGAGAUGAAAUCAAUAAAGUAAAGGCCAAAAUAUCAAUACAAAAUCAAUGAAACUAACAAUUGAUUCGUUGAGAAAAUGAAUAAGAUAGAAAAAUCUUUAGCCCAAUUAACUAAAAGAUGGAGAAAUAAGAUCCAAAUUAAUAAAACUAUAAAUCAAAAGAGAAACAGAACAACAGAUAUCAAGGAAAUCAAGGGGGUAUAGUUUAAAAAUCUGUAUUCCACCACAUUGAAAAAUCUAAAAUAAAUAAUUAUAUAUAUAAUUUAACAUAUCAUAUAUAUGUAUAUAUGAUGUACUAAAGUUAAAUCUGGGUCAGAUAAGCUAUUUAACCUAUUGCCACCAUAUAAAGACUGAAAGACAAAUUAUACAAUCAUUUCACUAGAAGGAGAAAAGGCUUUAGACAAAAGCCAAUAUCCCUUCAGGAUAGUAGACUUAGAGUGACUGAGAGUUCAAGUAACAUACCCCCAUGUUAAUAAAAGUCAAUUUAUAACAAGCCCAUAGUCAACAUCAACCUAAAUGCAGAGAAACAUAAAGCAGUUUAACUAAAAUCAGGAAAAAGAAAAGGAUGCCUACUCUCUCUCUCUAUGUACUAUAUAAGUCAAUAUAAUACUUAAAACCUCAGCUAGAAAUAAAACACCUGAAGGUGAUCAGGGAGGUAGAUACAAAUAAGAAAGGAAAAAGCCAAAAUGUCUUUAUGUAGAGGCAGAUGAUAUGGUUUCACACAUAAAUGACUGGAAAUCCUACCAGGGAACUCCUACAAAUGAUAAACACUUUCAGCGAACUAGCAGUAGACAAAAUUUACUCACAAAAUCAGUAGCCUUCUUAUACAUAAAUGUCAAGUGGACUGAAAGAGAAAUCAGGAAAACGACACAGUACACUCAAAAAAUAUAGAAUAAGUUUGGAAGUUCUAGCCAAGCAAGUGAAAGUUUUAUAUGAUAAAUUUUUAAGACAUUGAAGAAAGAAGUGGAAGAAAUCAGAAGAUGGAAUGACUCCCCAUGCUCAUGAAUUGGUAGGAUUAAUAUAAUGACAAUAUUAUUCUUCCAAAAGCAAUCUACAGAUUGCAUACUAUACCCAUCAGAAUUCCAAUACAAUUCUUUAGAGAUCUUGGAAAAAACAAUUCUCAGCUUUGUAAGAAGACACAGACAUACAACGUACACACACACACACACACACACACACACACACACACACAAAGAAAGACAGAGACAGAAAGAGACAGAGAGAGAGAGAGAGAGAGAGAGAGAGAGAGAGAGCAAAAACAGGACAGCUAAAAUAAUACUGAAUAAUUUUUAAAAUGUCAACCCUAACCUCAAGUUGUAACAGAGAUAUUGUAAUAGAAAUAGCAUGAUAUUGGCAUAGAAGCAGACAUAUUGAUCAAUGGAUGGAACUGAGUUGAAGAACCAGAAAUACAUCCACACGCACACACCUAUAGACACCUGAUAUGUGAGAAAAUAACCCAGACAGUUGCUCAGAAAAUUGGGAAUGGUUCUAACUCAAGGACCAACUGUACCACUCCUAGGCAUAUACCCAAAAGAUGCUUCACCAACCAACUAGGACACUUGCUCAACUUUGGUCUUGGCAGCCUUAUUUGCAAUAGCCAGAGACUGGAUACAACCUAGAUUUCCCUUAACUGAAGAAUGCAUAAAGAAAAUGUGGUUGAUUUACACAAGAUAAUACUAUUCGGCUGUUUAAAACAAGAGCAUCAUGGAUUUUGUGGGUGAAUGGAUGGAAGUAGAACAUAGCCUGAGUAAGGUAUGUACUCACUUAUAUGGGUAUAUUAGCCAUAAAAUACAGGAUGAUUACAUUACAAGGAUGGUUGAAUCUUUCUGAGAAGGAGAAAUAGAAUAAAUAUUGGAAUGGCAGGGAGGAAACUGGGUGAGAGAGAGAAUGGUGAGGGAGUGGCUAGAAGUGGGUGAGGUACAGGGAGAGCAGGAGAGAGAACAGAAACUGGUUGGCAGAACAGAAGCAGAGCAUCUCUAAAACAAGAUUGGGGGUGGACUCUAGCUGAGACUCCUAGCAGUGAGGCAUAUGGAUUCUGAAGUGGCCACUUCCUGAAGCGAGGCAGGACUCCCAGUGGAGGGGAAAAGAAUAGCAACCCACUCAGAAGAUUUUCUACCUAAAAUAUGCCCUGCCUACAGGAAGGACAGGGAGAAAGAUAGAGCAGAGAGUGACAACCAAUGACUGGCCCAAAUGGAAAACAUCAAUGUGUAUCAAUAAAAUUACUCCAAAUGGUGCUGUGCUAUCAUCCAGAAAGAGACCUUGGGCCACACAGUGCUAAAUGCGAUGUCAUAAUCAAACUCUGCCCUCAGGUCUCUGGAACUAUGCAUAAGAGGAGGCAGAACUGUAAUAGCCAGAAGGUAUUGAUGACAUCAUGGAAACAGUGUCUUCCAGAUGCAACAGGAUUAACAUAUUUACGAACAGAAACUGUGGCAGUAUGCACAGGCCCUGCAAAGGUUAAACCAGAGGUGUGUCCUAUGCUAAAACAGGGAAAUGAACACAACUUCCCAGACCUACUGAAAAAGUUAUUAAUUAACAACUUCUUAGAAUAGAAAAAUUAGUUUUUCUAAAGGAUUCACACUAUAAAAACCAAACUUAUGACAAUACCCUAUGCCAAUCAAUGGAUGGCCAGCAUAGAGCAAACUCAAUGGUAUUUUGGAGAAUUUUGUCUCAUGUUGCUUUGUUUGGGCAUAUUUUUUAAAGCUUACAGUUUUUUGUUUGUAUUUUAUAGUUUCAGAUUUUGUAUUUUUAUGUGUGUGUGUGUGUGUGUGUGUGUGUAUUAUGUGCGUCUUGUGCAUGUGUGUAUGCAUUCAAUUUUUGUACUUGACAUUUGGGUUUUUUGUAUGUAUACUUGUCCAUUUUGUUUUGCUCUCUUUUUAAAGAUUUCCCUCUGUCUUCUUAAAAGAGUGAGAAAGAAGGCAUGGAGUUUGAAGGGUAAGGAGGUAAGAAGAAUUGGGAGGAGAUGAGGAAGAGGAAACCAUGAAUAGAAUAUAUUGUAUAAAAUUAUUUUCCACUAAAAACAAAGAGGAAUAAGAAACAAAAUAGAAAUUUUAAGAAAAGAAAACUACAUUAUUACUCAUAGAUAUAUUCUGGUAUGACUUGACUUUUUGUUUUAUGUUAGAAGCUCUACAAAGAGUUUAUUAAAGACCAUUAAGCCUGGAGAAGAUAUAGCUUGGAGAAGUUGAACAAAAAGUUUGUUCAAUGACUUUAUGUCUGGGAUACUUGCUUUUAUUCAGUUUUGCUGAGCACAUGUACCCAAGUUUGGACAUGAGUGAGUGAAAAUAUUACAAAGGCCAAAUCUGCCCAGCAUUCCCAUUUAAGAAGAGAAACAAACUCUGCUUGGAAACAGUGACUAAGUUCUUAAAAUACUCAUUUCUGACUUUUUUGUCUAUGUGAAUUACAUAUGAAAAUGUUUCAGCAUGUUAAAGGGAAACUAUAAUGUAAAUUUGUAGGAACAUGAAUAAUAAUUUGGAAACACAUUUUUUAAUCUUAGAACAUUAGGUAAUUUUAUGAUGAGAUAAAUUUUAAUAUUAACAGUAGCCUAUGCAAAUCCACUCUGUCCAAAACAAUGACUUUUUUCCCCCAGUUUUCAGUUUUAACAUUAUUGUACAUAUCCUUUUCUGUAAUACUUGUCUUCUAUAAGGAAUGAAUUGACAUCACAGCAUAUUAAAGAGCAGGCAGGUUUUCUAGCACUUGGGCUACUUCUCUACACAUUCUUCUCAUCUCCUUCUCUUAAUGUAUUAUUUUCUCAUUCCUAAGAAAAGGUGGCUGACAGAAGCCAAGUAAGAGAGAAGAGAUUUAUUUUAGUGUGCAAUUUCAGAGGGCCCCGGCUCUUCAGAGUGGGGAGGGCUUAAUAAGGUGGCUCAGUACAUAGUGUCAACACAAGUUCACAAGGAAGUAAAUCAGAAAACAAAAAGUUACUGAAAAUAGCUGCCCGCCCACCUGCCUGCUUCCCUGAGGGUUGUUUGUAGAUUACAUAGCCUUCCUAAAUAUAAAGAAGUGUUGAGAAUAUAGCCUGUGGGAGGCAUUCAAAAUUCUGUCCACAAUAUCCACUCUAAUAUUCAGUCAAGUGCACUUGCCAAUUGAUUUAAAUACUUGUUCCCACAUCUACCUCUAGUAGUCAUGUCAAGCUUUGCAUGAACUAUGGAACAAUCACUGAGUAAAUUUAUGCUCAGUGAAUGGACUUUAGAAAUGAGAUGAAAUGUAUUUUCUACCCACGCUGAACAUUAAAAUCAUAGCAAACACCUAAACAAAGCCAUUAAAAAUACAUGUUAAAACAAGAAGAAAACAAACAGUAAAUGUUAAAGUUCUGAAGAGAGAAGAGGGUGAAAAGACCUGAUUUUUAGAUUAAGUGUAGCUUGUAAGUGUAGACAUGUUUGAAGGAAUAACAUAGGACGUGAAUUAAUAGAUUGAUAUGUUUGAUAAAUAAAUGAUUACACUUUGAAUCCCUUUAAAAUUUUACUAUUUGUUUAUGUAUACAUGGAAUUGUGCCUGUGGAUAUGCACACACAUGUGUGAAGAUGCCUGCAGAAACAAGAGAAUGGUGGUGUGCACUCUUGAUCUGGAGUUAUAAGUAUUUGGAGCCACACAAUUUAGAUGCAGGAAACUGCAGGCACAUCAAGUGCUUGUCAGCACUGUAUCAUCUCUCCAGCUAAGCUACUGCAGUUCGAACCGUGCUGAUAAAGUUGAAAUAUAAAUAAAACAUAAAGAAUCUUUUGUGGAUCCACAUAGUAGCUUAUAGCUGUCUUUUUAACAGUUCCAGGGGAUCCAAGGCAUCUCCUCUGUUCUCUGUGGCACCAGAGACACAAGUGAUAAUUAUGUAUAUGCAGAUGAAACAAUCAUAUAUAUAAAAUAAAAAUAAAUCUUUGAAAAAAUCAUUUGUGUAGAUAAAAUAAACUUAGGUUUAAUAAAUUUAUGUGAUGUUACAUGUGUUGGGAAAACACUAAGAAUCAAUUCAAGUUAUAAAGUUCAUAAAUUUAUAAUUCAUAAAAGGAAAACAAGAGGAAAUACUCAUUUGCACAAUCUCUUUAGUAAUCAAAGAAAUGAAACAAUAAUAUUAAUCCUUUGUUACUAGUAAUUCUAGAAAAUCCUGUUUUAAAAUUUAUAUCAAAUAUGACUCAUGUUGUAAAAUAUUUGAAAAAGAUAGUAAUUCCAAAGGAAUUCUAAAUGAGGACACAAUUUCUGGAGAGCAAGUUGGCAGUAUACCUCAAGUGCUAUAAAAUAUUCAUCUCAUUUGAUUUAUGAAUUUCUCUUCUAGAAAUGUACCCGUGGAAAUGCAAUUUGCUCACAAAUGUAAUCUGAGAGAAGCAAUUUUCAUGAAAAGAUUAUCAUUGCAAAGUCCUUGGAUGAAUUGCAGCUCCAUAUAUUCUGAGGAUGAAGUCAAAAGAACGAUAGAUUGGAAGCACAGUCAAGAUGAGUGUUGUGAUGCAUGUAUGAGUCAUUCCAUAGUCUCUGAUUGGAGGCAGAGUGGAGAGUUCCAAGUAUUUAAACACAAAAAGGAAUAGUUGACAUUACACAGAUUAAGGAUGAACGAUGAGAAGAGUGGGUGGUAAAAGAGAGGAACCAGCAAACUGAUGAAUCAGAAGAAAAACUGCUAGUAAAAUGUACAUCUACCCAGCAGCCUAUUGAAACAGAUGCAGAAACCUACAGCCAAACAUUAGACAGAGCUUGGGAAGUCUUAUGGAAGAGUUGGGGAAGUGUUGAGGGACCUAAAGGGGAUAGGGACUCCACAACAAGACCAUCAGAGUCAACCAACCUAGACUUUGGAAGCUCCCAGAGAUUGAAUUACUAAACAAGAGUAAGCAUGGACUGGACGUAGGCCUCAGCCCUGCACCUAUGUAGCAGAUGUGCAGGCUAGAAGAGUUUAUUGUGCUGUUGACAAUAUCCUCACAUGAAAGAGAUGAAGGUUCACUCUUCAGAAAGUAUCUGUGCUGGUGUCGUUUCUACACUCAACUUUUCUUUUGCAAUAAAAAUAUCAGAAUUAUCCUUUCGGUGGCCUUGCAAUACAUAGUGGUGACAUAAUUUGGAAUCUGAAUGGCUUCUAGUAGGACCACAAUCUCAAGGAUGUAUUUUCUUGGAGUAUUAUGGGCAAUGAAGAGAAGUUCUCUUCCUCUCUAGCUGGAUGCAUGAGUAUGGAUUACAUGGAAAGCAGAGUUAGAAUCUGUGUAAAACUACACUGAGGCUUGUUCCUGCCUCCCUCUGGAUACCCCAAGGGAGAAGAAUGAGUUCUGCUUUUGGACCGGCAUGGAAUUAUUUGGAAGAACCUCAUAUUCUGUGACCUCUGUUAUGCUCCCUUAUAUUCCCUGAAAAAUCUUUGUUCUGUCACCAUUAAAUCACAUCCAACUCUGAACCAGGGGGCUCAUGUGGGAAAAUGAGCAAUUCUGUAAAGCUGGGGCAGGACUUCAGGUGAAAACGGAUUGCCGAGGAAUGCUGUAGAGAGGCCAUGGGCCUCAAAUCUGGCAAUUUUUACCUUGGUGAGGUUUUAUUUUCUGCCAUAUGUUGGUUCUACUUUCUAAGAUCGAAUGGAAAGACCAGGAGUUAAGUUUCAUGGAACUAGUAAAUCAUAUAGUCCAUUGUACUCUGUCCAAAGAUUAACAACAUUCCUGUGGGUACUUCACCAAUCACAAUAGUACGUCUGCUUGUACCUGAGGCAAGGAGGCCAUUCUCUCCUAAAAGCUGUAAUAAUUUGUAGAAAUACAUGACUUGCCAUUUGAGAGGUCCCAAAGUUUAGGUUAAAACUCAAUAGUGCUAUUCAUUUUUGCUCAUAUACAUACAGAGGAAAGGAUUUAGUAAGACAGGGAGAGCUAAGUCUGGGACAGAAGUUUAAGAGGUCUGAGUCUAGUAAUUACAAGAGCCUAAUGGAAUAGAUUUUACUCUGCAGUUUUAGGCCUCACAAAGAAGGUUAGCCAAAAAUUUCGCUUCAACAUCUGAAUUCUGAAAAAGUCAGUCCCUGCUGUUUUGCAGGUCAUUGCUGAUGGCGGGGGUGGGGUGGGGGUGGGGGUGGAGGAGUGGGGUGGGGGGGAUUAGAUGCCCAUGAUGUUGGAAAGGCUUCUUUGGAUGAUGCUGACUUCCUGUCAUGAGGAAGUUGAGAACAUUCUUGCUCUACUGUGUCUCUGUUUUGCAAAUUAGACACGACCCUAAGGAUGCCUGUAGGCACUGUAGUCUUGGAUACUCCUUGCUAGCCACCAAAAUGAUACUGAGUCCUUUUGUAUAAGGCUUGGUUAAUUCCUUGACACUGCACUGAAUGGUCAGUAGAUGGAGCUCUAGGAUUUCCUGAGACUGAAAGGAGCUGUCAAACACCACUGCUUUUAAUUGUAUGUGCCUCUUACCUGUUUAUCCCACCAGUUUGCCCUUUCUAGCUGAUGAGAUCUCCUCCCGAUUAUUAAAGGCCUUGAAAAUUCUGUUCAAUAAAUAAAUAAGCAAGUAUGAGGUUUCUUAAUAAGGGCUGUCAACUGAAACUGAGGCUACACCUUCGCCAGUGGCCUUUCCUAGUCUCUCACAGUGCCAAGCCUCAGCUGCUCUCCAUGACCUCUUUAUACCUUCAAAACCAGUACCACCUGGGUGACUCCUACAUAUUAUCAAGUCCAGCUGCAGCAGGAGGUAUAAUCUUGGCUACUUCUGGAACACAGAUUCUUUGUGCGCUUAGAAAAUCUAUCCCAGAAGAUUUCACUUCUGAGAUGCUAGUCUCUUUUUAAUCACUCCUAAUUUCUUAGCUACAGCUAACUAGCAUCAAUUGUCCCAUUAGUCCCUUCUAUUCUUGACUCUAAGGCUAGAGCCAUAUGGCUAAAGCUGCCAAGUUCUGCUGCUUGCUGGGCUGGAAUAUGGCCCUUAUUACCAGCUUUCUGUUUUCCAACUACUUCACUACCUAAGCUUGGCUGUCUUGGAACUUGCUCAGUAGAUUGACCUUAAACUCAGAAAUGUGCAGGGUUCUUUUUCCUGCAUGCUGGGUUUAAAGGUGUGUAUCACCACACUUAGAUUUAAGCUUAUCUUUUCCUAGAACUCUCUCUGGCCCAGGCUGGCCUUAAAUUCAGAGAUCUUUGUCUCCUGGGAUUAAAGGUGUAUACCACCGUGUACUAAAGCUUUCCAUGGAUGCUAUUCCUCAAGCUGUGCUAAAGCUUCUCGUGACCACUAUUCUUCAAGAUCCAGAUCUAAAGCUGGUAUCUUCCAGCCUCAAGGCCUGCACCGUAAGUAAGUGUGUCCUCCAUUUCUGAAUUGUAGUUCAUUCCAGACUAAACAUCUAAACUAUCCCUUGUUCAACUGCAAACACAAACAAGAAUCUUGUGGGUGUGAUCUUAUCCUGAGACCACCACUCCCUUAAUUUGUUUAUCUCCUUGAAUAUAGGAUUCAGCUUCAUUUUACUUCCUGGUGCCCUUUUAUUCCUUGAAUAAUAAUUUUUUCUUUUUUUUUCCUUUUUAAGUUUGCUAUGCAUAAUCAGAAUGUCCUUCCUGAGAGUAAACUAGAGGACAAAGUCUAUGCUGGGUUCCUUUGUCAAUGGAAUUAAUUGAAAUGUCUUUACCUUAGCCUCAGGUAAAGAGACUCUUUAGAUAAUGGCAAAAAAGUCACAUUCUUGAAUAAAGAUCACAAAAAAUGGUGUCUAGUCCACUGUGGUGGUUUGAAUAUACUUGGCACAGAGAUUAACACAACUAAGAGCUAUGGCCUUGUUGGAGGAAUUAUGUCACUUUGGGCGUGGGCUUUGAGACCCUUUUCCUAGCCUCCUGAAUGACAGUCUCCUGUUUGCUUUGGAAGGAGAUGUAGUUAGAACUCUCAGUUCCUCCCUUGCCAUGACUGUCUGGAUGCUGCCAUGCUUCCUGCCAUGAUAACUGACUGAACCUCAGAACCAGUAAGCUCUAAUUAAAUGUCGUUUGUAAGAGUUUCUUUGGUCAUGGUGUCUCUUCACAGCAAUAAAACCCCAUUUAAGACAGUCACAUAAUUAAAUUCUUCUCCUAAAUCUCCAGAGCCAGGCUUCUACAGUUCAAAUGACACUCAGCACCCCUGCUUUCCAUAAUUCUUCUUGGGAGGGCCCAGUAAGCUGCACUUAAAACAUGCCACUGCUUUCCAAACCCACACUCCUCCAAACAAAAACAAGGUCAGUCCUAUCACAGCAAUACCCCAACCCCUGGUACCAACUUCUGUCUUAGUUUGGGGUUCCAGUAUUAGGAAGAGACCCCAUGACGAAGUCGACUCACAUAAAGCACAUUUAAUUGAGUCUGGCUUACAAAUUCAGAGGUUCAGUUCAUUAUCGUCAAGGUGGAAAACAUGACCUUGUCUAGGCAGGCAUGGAAAGGGAGGAGCUGAGAGUUCUACAUUUGGUUGGAGGGUCUCUCUGAAAAGACUACUGUCUUCCAGGCAUCUAGGAGGAUAGUUUCAAAGCCCACAUUUCCUCUAACAAGGUCACGGCCACUGCAGCAAGACCCUAUCUCCUAAUAGUGCCACACCCUGGCCAAGCAUAUGCAGUCCACCACAAGAAUGAACUUUCUACUCUACCAUAUUUACUGAAUAGCUAUAGAUAAAUGAGCGUCUCCCUAUUUGGAGUAUCAUUAUCUAUUACCUUGUUUCAUUAACAGAGUUCAGAUGGGAAGAGCAGCCUCCUAAUGAACUUCUUUCAUAUCUACAUCUGUUUAAUUUGCUAUGAUCACUACAUGCAUCAAAUUAGGUUACAUUAGUAGGAGGGUAUAUAGUUAGUAGCAGACUCAGCACUCAUUGGGGAUGUAUGAAUUACUUGUUACCCUUAACCGAUAAAGUAAAUAACAGAAACUUCAAGGAUCUAAUUGUUAUUGGCCCCUGGAGGGCCUAAUAACCUCUAUAACUGAAAGAAACCAGCAAAUGGAUUUUAGCAGAGAGAUUAGUUCAGCCUGAACAGAGGAAAAUGGGGUAAAUACUGUCAUUCUCAAAAAUACAGUGCUCCUCAUUUUCCAAAAAGGAAUAAUCUUAAGAGUUUUAAGAGCUGUGAAUGUAAGAUUUCUGAGCUUGGCAGAGAAUUGUCUGUAGACAAUUGUUUUUGUCCUUUUUGACUGGAACAUUUUAUAGGGCAAAGACAUGUUUUAUCUUUCCACUGAAAAUAAUCUUUGGACCACUCCUGUGCCCUGCUUAGAGACUAAUUUUGAUAAAGAAAAACAGUGAUAGGUAAUGGAAGAGAAUUAAUGUAUUUGGAUAUGGGAAAAUAGUUCAGUUCGGUGGGUAAAUGCCACACAAGCAUUAGGACCUGAGUUUGAACCCCUCACACUCAUAUAUAUAUAUUUGACAUAGCAGCAAACAUAUGAAAUUUCACUACUGCAGGAUAGACAGGCAGAUCCUUUGUGUGCUUGUCAUGCUAGCUGACUGGAUAACGACAGGCUUGGUGAGAGAUCCAGUUUCUUAAAAAUAAGUUGGAAAAUUGAUGGAGCUCAGCCUCUGGGGCCCACACAUACUUGCACAGAUAAAUAUGCCUAUACACUCAUGAAGACAACACACAUACAUGUGUGUACACACAAACAUACAAAUGCACACACACAAUAAGAAAUUAAAAGAAAUAUCACAAUUUCACUUUCUUAAAUUUGAAAUACUACAUGAGAAGACUAGAUGAAAAAGACAGAUGAUGAUAUCAUAGUUAGCCCUGCCCGUGAGAGAGAGAACCAACCGCCUGGUCAGGUGGGCAUUCCUGAGGCUGCAGAGCGGAAGAGACCACCAACACUGCCCACCCCUGCCCACAUCCCUGGCCCAAGGGGAAAAUGUAUAAGGCCUCUGGGCUCCCGUGGGGGAGGGCCCAGGAGCGGCAGGACCCCUGCCUGAGACACCACAGGAACCUGAAGGAAACAUACCGGAUAAACAGUUCUCUGCACCCAAAUCCCGUGAGAGGGAGAGCUAAACCUUCAGAGAGGUAGACAAGCCUGGGAAACCAGAAGAGACUGCUCUCUGCACAUACAUCUCGGACGCCAGAGGAAAACACUAAAGGCCAUCUGGAACCCUGGUGCACUGAAGCUCCCGGAAGGGGCGGCACAUAUCUUCCUGGUUGCUGCCGCUGCAGAGAGCCCGUGGGCAGCACCCCACGAGGGAACUUGAGCCUUGGGACCACAGGUAAGACCAACUUUUCUGCUGCAAGAAAGCUGUCUGGUGAACUCAAGACACAGGCCCACAGGAACAGCUGAAGACCUGUAGAGAGGAAAAACUACACACCCGAAAGCAGAACACUCUGUCCCCAUAACUGACUGAAAGAGAGGAAAACAGGUCUACAGCACUCCUGACACACAAGCUUAUAGGACAGUCUAGCCACUAUCAGAAAUAGCAGAACAAAGUAACACUAGAGAUAAUCUGAUGGCGAGAGGCAAGCGCAGGAACCCAAGUAACAGAAACCAAGACUACAUGGCAUCAUUGGAGCCCAAUUCUCCCACCAAAACAAACAUGGAAUAUCCAAACACACCAGAAAAGCAAGAUCUAGUUUCAAAAUCAUAUUUGAUCAUGAUGCUGGAGGACUUCAAGAAAGACGUGAAGAACUCCCUUAGGGAAACACAGGAAAACAUUAAUAAACAAGUAGAAGCCUACAGAGAGGAAUCGCAAAAAUCCCUGAAAGAAUCGCAGAAAUCCCUGAAAGAAUUCCAGGAAAACACAAUCAAACAGUUGAAGGAAUUAAAAAUGGAAAUAGAAGCAAUCAAGAAAGAAAACAUGGAAACAACCCUGGAUAUAGAAAACCAAAAGAAGAGACAAGGAGCUGUAGAUACAAGCUUCACCAACAGAAUACAAGAGAUGGAAGAGAGAAUCUCAGGAGCAGAAGAUUCCAUAGAAAUCAUUGACUCAACUAUCAAAGAUAAAGUAAAGCGGAAAAAGCUACUGGUCCAAAACAUACAGGAAAUCCAGGACUCAAUGAGAAGAUCAAACCUAAGGAUAAUAGGUAUAGAAGAGAAUGAAGACUCCCAGCUCAAAGGACCAGUAAAUAUCUUCAACAAAAUCAUGGAAGAAAACUUCGCUAACCUAAAAUAAGAGAUACCCAUAGACAUACAAGAAGCCUACAGAACUCCAAAUAGAUUGGACUAGAAAAGAAACACCACCCGUCACAUAAUUGUCAAAACACCAAACACACAAAAUAAAGAAAGAAUAUUAAAAGCAGUAAGGGAAAAAGGUCAAGUAACAUAUAAAGGCAGACCUAUCAGAAUCACACCAGACUUCUCGCCAGAAACUAUGAAGGCCAGAAGAUCCUGGACUGAUGUCAUACAGACCCUAAGAGAACACAAAUGCCAGCCCAGGUUACUGUAUCCUGCAAAACUCUCAAUUAACAUAGAUGGAGAAACCAAGAUAUUCCAUGACAAAACCAAAUUUACACAAUAUCUUUCUACAAAUCCAGCACUACAAAGGAUAAUAAAUGGUAAAGCCCAACAUAAGGAGGCAAGCUAUACCCUAGAAGAAGCAAGAAACUAAUCGUCUUGGCAACAAAACAAAGAGAAUGAAAACACACAAACAUGACUUCACAUCCAAAUAUGAAUAUAAUGGGAAGCAAUAAUCACUAUUCCUUAAUAUCUCUCAACAUCAAUGGCCUCAACUCCCCAAUAAAAAGAAAUAGAUUAACAAACUGGAUACGCAACGAGGACCCUGCAUUCUGCUGCCUACAGGAAACACACCUCAGACACAAAGACAGACACUACCUCAGAGUGAAAGGCUGGAAAACAACUUUCCAAGCAAAUGGUCAGAAGAGGCAAGCUGGAGUAGCCAUUCUAAUAUCAAAUAAAAUCAAUUUCCAACUAAAAGUCAUCAAAAAAGAUAAGGAAGGACACUUCAUAUUCAUCAAAGGAAAAAUCCACCAAGAUGAACUCUCAAUCCUAAAUAUCUAUGCCCCAAAUACAAGGGCACCUACAUACGUAAAAGAAACCUUACUAAAGCUCAAAACACACAUUGCACCUCACACAAUACUAGUGGGAGAUUUCAACACCCCACUCUCAUCAAUGGACAGAUCAUGGAAACAGAAAUUAAACAGUGAUGUCGACAGACUAAGAGAAGUCAUGAGCCAAAUGGACUUAACGGAUAUUUAUAGAACAUUCUAUCCUAAAGCAAAAGGAUAUACCUUCUUCU
Molecule: non-coding RNA, 16197 nt
Organism: Rattus norvegicus (Norway rat)
Lineage: Eukaryota; Metazoa; Chordata; Mammalia; Rodentia; Muridae
Source: RefSeq, a predicted model, not a curated record